GAUGAAGAACGCAGCGAAAUGCGAUACGUAAUGUGAAUUGCAGAUCUCUCAGUGAACCAUCGAAUCUUUGAACGCACAUUGCGCCCGCCAGUAUUCUGGCGGGCAUGCCUGUCCGAGCGUCAUUUCAACCAUCAAGCCCCGGGCUUGUGUUGGGGACCUGCGUCCGACGCAGGCCCUGAAAACCAGUGGCGGGCUCGCUGUCCACACCGAGCGUAGUAACUAACCUCGCUAUGGAGUGGCGCGGGCGCCUGCCGUAAAACCCCCAAUUUCACAAGGUUGACCUCGGAUCAGGUAGGAAUACCCGCUGAACUUAAGCAUAUCAAUAAGCGGAGGA
This 334-nucleotide unclassified non-coding RNA is filed under the name soil metagenome. Its description in RNAcentral is "partial contains 5.8S ribosomal RNA, internal transcribed spacer 2, and large subunit ribosomal RNA". The stretch from base 1 to 122 matches the Rfam family "5.8S ribosomal RNA", at positions 35 to 154 of the family's 154-position model. The record is from RNAcentral.